CCACCACUAAGCCAGUGGUGAACUCCACAUCCGCAUCCUUUGCUGAGGAUACGGUUAACGGAGCGAAAGCGACGUUCAACCGCAAAACAAGCAGAGGGGGCUUAGUGGUGGGGUGACUGCGUACCUUUUGUAUAAUGGGUCAGCGACUUAUAUUCUGUAGCAAGGUUAACCGAAUAGGGGAGCCGGAGGGAAACCGAGUCUUAAUUGGGCGUUAAGUUGCAGGGUAUAGACCCGAAACCCGGUGAUCUAGCCAUGGGCAGGUUGAAGGUUGGGUAACACUAACUGGAGGACCGAACCGACUAAUGUUGAAAAAUUAGCGGAUGACCUGUGGCUGGGGGUGAAAGGCCAAUCAAACCGGGAGAUAGCUGGUUCUCCCCGAAAGCUAUUUAGGUAGCGCCUCGUGAAUUCAUCUCCGGGGGUAGAGCACUGUUUCGGCUAGGGGGCCAUCCCGGCUUACCAACCCGAUGCAAACUGCGAAUACCGGAGAAUGUUAUCACGGGAGACACACGGCGGGUGCUAACGUCCGUCGUGAAGAGGGAAACAACCCAGACCGCCAGCUAAGGUCCCAAAGUCAUGGUUAAGUGGGAAACGAUGUGGGAAGGCCCAGACAGCCAGGAUGUUGGCUUAGAAGCAGCCAUCAUUUAAAGAAAGCGUAAUAGCUCACUGGUCGAGUCGGCCUGCGCGGAAGAUGUAACGGGGCUAAACCAUGCACCGAAGCUGCGGCAGCGAACGUAUCACCCAAGACAACUUUACGGAGUUGACGAUUGACGGAGCGAAGCGACGUCAAAGCGUUCAUUAAAGUCGAGUUGGCUUAGGGAUACGUUCGUUGGGUAGGGGAGCGUUCUGUAAGCCUGUGAAGGUGUGUCGUGAGGCAUGCUGGAGGUAUCAGAAGUGCGAAUGCUGACAUAAGUAACGAUAAAGCGGGUGAAAAGCCCGCUCGCCGGAAGACCAAGGGUUCCUGUCCAACGUUAAUCGGGGCAGGGUGAGUCGACCCCUAAGGCGAGGCCGAAAGGCGUAGUCGAUGGGAAACGGGUUAAUAUUCCCGUACUUGGUGUUACUGCGAAGGGGGGACGGAGAAGGCUAUGUUGGCCGGGCGACGGUUGUCCCGGUUUAAGCGUGUAGGUGUGUGUUCCAGGUAAAUCCGGUUCACUUUAACACUGAGGCGUGACGACGAGGCACUACGGUGCUGAAGCAACAAAUGCCCUGCUUCCAGGAAAAGCCUCUAAGCAUCAGGUAACAUCAAAUCGUACCCCAAACCGACACAGGUGGUCAGGUAGAGAAUACCAAGGCGCUUGAGAGAACUCGGGUGAAGGAACUAGGCAAAAUGGUGCCGUAACUUCGGGAGAAGGCACGCUGACACGUAGGUGAAGUGAUUUACUCAUGGAGCUGAAGUCAGUCGAAGAUACCAGCUGGCUGCAACUGUUUAUUAAAAACACAGCACUGUGCAAACACGAAAGUGGACGUAUACGGUGUGACGCCUGCCCGGUGCCGGAAGGUUAAUUGAUGGGGUCAGCGCAAGCGAAGCUCCUGAUCGAAGCCCCGGUAAACGGCGGCCGUAACUAUAACGGUCCUAAGGUAGCGAAAUUCCUUGUCGGGUAAGUUCCGACCUGCACGAAUGGCGUAAUGAUGGCCAGGCUGUCUCCACCCGAGACUCAGUGAAAUUGAACUCGCUGUGAAGAUGCAGUGUACCCGCGGCAAGACGGAAAGACCCCGUGAACCUUUACUAUAGCUUGACACUGAACAUUGAGCCUUGAUGUGUAGGAUAGGUGGGAGGCUUUGAAGUGUGGACGCCAGUCUGCAUGGAGCCGACCUUGAAAUACCACCCUUUAAUGUUUGAUGUUCUAACGUGGACCCGUAAUCCGGGUUGCGGACAGUGUCUGGUGGGUAGUUUGACUGGGGCGGUCUCCUCCUAAAGAGUAACGGAGGAGCACGAAGGUUGGCUAAUCCUGGUCGGACAUCAGGAGGUUAGUGCAAUGGCAUAAGCCAGCUUGACUGCGAGCGUGACGGCGCGAGCAGGUGCGAAAGCAGGUCAUAGUGAUCCGGUGGUUCUGAAUGGAAGGGCCAUCGCUCAACGGAUAAAAGGUACUCCGGGGAUAACAGGCUGAUACCGCCCAAGAGUUCAUAUCGACGGCGGUGUUUGGCACCUCGAUGUCGGCUCAUCACAUCCUGGGGCUGAAGUAGGUCCCAAGGGUAUGGCUGUUCGCCAUUUAAAGUGGUACGCGAGCUGGGUUUAGAACGUCGUGAGACAGUUCGGUCCCUAUCUGCCGUGGGCGCUGGAGAACUGAGGGGGGCUGCUCCUAGUACGAGAGGACCGGAGUGGACGCAUCACUGGUGUUCGGGUUGUCAUGCCAAUGGCACUGCCCGGUAGCUAAAUGCGGAAGAGAUAAGUGCUGAAAGCAUCUAAGCACGAAACUUGCCCCGA
This 2422-nucleotide ribosomal RNA is filed under the name Salmonella enterica subsp. enterica serovar Typhimurium. RNAcentral's name for it is "partial 23S ribosomal RNA". It matches the Rfam family "Bacterial large subunit ribosomal RNA". The record is from RNAcentral. Lineage: Bacteria; Pseudomonadati; Pseudomonadota; Gammaproteobacteria; Enterobacterales; Enterobacteriaceae.